RNAcentral lists this ribosomal RNA (388 nucleotides) under uncultured bacterium. Its description in RNAcentral is "bacterial SSU rRNA". It matches the Rfam family "Bacterial small subunit ribosomal RNA", at positions 29 to 420 of the family's 1533-position model. The record is from RNAcentral.
AAUGAACGCUGGCGGCGUGGUUAAGACAUGCAAGUCGAACGGCAGCGGACCUUCGGGUGCCGGCGAGUGGCGAACGGGUGAGUAAAGUAUCGGAACGUACCUUUCAGUGGGGGAUAACUGUCCGAAAGGACAGCUAAUACCGCAUAUUCUGUGAGCAGGAAAGCAGGGGAUCGCAAGACCUUGCGCUGAUUGAGCGGCCGAUAUCAGAUUAGCUAGUUGGUGAGGUAAAGGCUCACCAAGGCGACGAUCUGUAGCGGGUCUGAGAGGAUGAUCCGCCACACUGGAACUGAGACACGGUCCAGACUCCUACGGGAGGCAGCAGUGGGGAAUUUUGGACAAUGGGCGCAAGCCUGAUCCAGCCAUGCCGCGUGAGUGAAGAAGGCCUCGG